UCUAAAAUUCGAAAGUCGCUGGACCAGUAUUUCUCGUUUUUAUCGCCACUGGUCGGCCAUGACGGCUGCUCCUUGACAACAGUAAAUUACGUAAUCAUAGAUAAAGUCGGCAGGUACGUUCGCACCAGCCUUGCUUCUCUUGAUAAUGAUUUGUUACCAGCUGGCGCAGAUUUGACCGUCAUCUAAAACUAUAAUUAAAAUCAAUUCUUGUUAGGCAAUACUGAUACUAUUCUAUUACCACCUGCUUUUGUGUAGUCAACUUUGACAGCCUAUGGAAGAUAACAAAGACGGAAAAGACUCCUUGGGUGUUGGUCCUCAGCACACUUGCUUGAAUGAACCCUAAGGACCCCACAGCCCUCUUCCCUCUUGUUUCAAGUUGAUCCCUGUUGCUGUAAGAGAGGGGUCUAUCUCUGGUUUCACCGUCUGCCAAGGAGGAGAAGACAGAAGACGAUAAGGAAAAAUGGCGAACUUGUUUGAUGAGCGAUUCCCCAUUGUACGCAAAAAGUGGCGAACUCUCGACAACUGAACUGGGGUCUGUUGUCCGUGAUGAGAAUGGCUGGUACUCUAUGUACUCUGCAAAGAUUGACUUCAGAAUGCGUCCCAUCUUAUGCCUGGAACCACAUGCGAGACUGUUUUGAAUCAAGGUAUUGGCGAGGAUCUGCACAUUGAUAAUGUUGAUGAAAUUGCUUCACACAUGGAGGAUACAAGUCUGUGUGAUGUGUCUGCAGAGGAUUCACGUAUACCUGCAGGAAUUGUAUCGAGACUUGAACAUUCCCUCAGUCAUCAUGACUACUGUGGUUCUCAAACGUUGAUCAGUCUUUAUGUUAAUAAAUGUACCCAAACAUUUUAAGAACAUGUCACAUCAGUUGGAAGUCAGACAUUAGAUAAUGAAAGUAGCUAUUGUAAUGCAAGCACCCAAACAGUUGAAUCUGUUGGUAUUCAAGCUGACAGACCAACAUUGACCUAUGAGGAUAUCAGGUGCUCUAAUGAAAGUGUUAUGUUUUACACUGGAGUGUAUCAACAUUUGAAGCAUUGUUUGAUCCACAUCCGAUGGUGGGAGGCCACAUGUUAUGAGGCAAAUUGAUGAAUGUGGAAGCAAGGUGAUGCUAUUAUGGCAGAUAAAGGUUUUCUGAUCUCUGAUUUAACUACACCUAGAGGUAUUGACCUCAUUAUUCCCCCAUUUAAAACUAAAAAGCAACAACUGACUGUAACAAGAAAACUUGCCCAUUUUAGGAUUCAUGUUGAGCGCCAAAUGGAAAGAAUUAAGAACUUUCGCAUAUUACAAGGAACUAUUCCCAUCACAAUGGCUUCGCAGGUAACAAAAAUAUCGCAUAUAUGUGUAUUUUUGAGACAUUUGCAACCGCCUCCUGUCCUUAAAUGAUAUUCAUUCUCAUGAAAAUGUAAUAUGGACAGAUUAAUGAAAUAAUUGACUGAUGACAGUACUAGUAUGUUUGAAAAUGUGCCUUUGUUUAUAUUGUGCAGUACACCAGUUAGGAAAGCUCGUGAACAGUUAAGCCCACACAAAGGGAGAUAAUUUACUGAAACGACUUUGUAGUGCCUUGUGACAUGUUUUGAUUCAUGCUCUAUGUAUCCAUAUGUAAAUGCCAAAUAGUUAUUUUUCACAUAAUUUAUAUUCAUGCUUGUAAAACAUACUCUGAGCCUGAGGCCUAAAUACUGCAAUAAGGACUUGACUUAAAUUUGUUAGACUGAAUGGUCUAGAAAAUUCAACAGUAAUAACCAUGUUAAAUAUUAAACUGUAAUAAUAAUGUAUCUCUUGCUGUUCAACAGCAAUCCACAUUUUACCCAUAUUGCUGACAGUGAAUCAAUAUGGAU
RNAcentral lists this long non-coding RNA (1833 nucleotides) under Haliotis rufescens (red abalone). RNAcentral describes it as "uncharacterized LOC125380031". The record is from RNAcentral. Lineage: Eukaryota; Metazoa; Mollusca; Gastropoda; Lepetellida; Haliotidae.